This 192-nucleotide non-coding RNA is filed under the name Desulfosporosinus acidiphilus. RNAcentral's name for it is "Lysine sequence". It matches the Rfam family "Lysine riboswitch aptamer". From Rfam's summary of the family: Riboswitches are metabolite binding domains within certain messenger RNAs that serve as precision sensors for their corresponding targets. Allosteric rearrangement of mRNA structure is mediated by ligand binding, and this results in modulation of gene expression. The record is from RNAcentral. Lineage: Bacteria; Bacillati; Bacillota; Clostridia; Eubacteriales; Desulfitobacteriaceae.
AGGUGUGGUAGAGGCGCGAAUGACAAUAGUACUGUGGAGAAGGCUGCGACAGCCGAUGAGCCCAUAGAAAAGGGGAUUUCGCCGAAGCCCAAAAUGCAGCGUGAAUUUUGGUGCUGGGCCUAUGGUUAAUAGCUGUAGGACUGUCACACGAUGAUUUCGAUGAAAUCCAUCGUGUGGAGAACUACUCCCAAC